GUGGGGAAUAUUGGACAAUGGGCGAAAGCCUGAUCCAGCCAUGCCGCGUGUGUGAAGAAGGUCUUCGGAUUGUAAAGCACUUUAAGUUGGGAGGAAGGGCAGUAAGUUAAUACCUUGCUGUUUUGACGUUACCGACAGAAUAAGCACCGGCUAACUUCGUGCCAGCAGCCGCGGUAAUACGAAGGGUGCAAGCGUUAAUCGGAAUUACUGGGCGUAAAGCGCGCGUAGGUGGUUUUGUAAGUUGGAGGUGAAAUCCCCGGGCUCAACCUGGGAACUGCCUCCAAAACUGCAUGACUAGAGUACAGUAGAGGGUAGUGGAAUUUCCUGUGUAGCGGUGAAAUGCGUAGAUAUAGGAAGGAACACCAGUGGCGAAGGCGACUACCUGGACUGAUACUGACACUGAGGUGCGAAAGCGUGGGGAGCAAACAGGAUUAGAAACCCUGGUAGUCC
This 450-nucleotide ribosomal RNA is filed under the name uncultured bacterium. Its description in RNAcentral is "partial 16S ribosomal RNA". It matches the Rfam family "Bacterial small subunit ribosomal RNA", at positions 354 to 796 of the family's 1533-position model. The record is from RNAcentral.